GCGCCUGUAACUCAGUGGAUAACGCAUCUGUUUUGUAAGUAGGAGAUCAUGGGUUCGACCACUGUCUAGCGCG
This 73-nucleotide transfer RNA is filed under the name Salix viminalis (osier). The record is from RNAcentral. Lineage: Eukaryota; Viridiplantae; Streptophyta; Magnoliopsida; Malpighiales; Salicaceae.